Molecule: ribosomal RNA, 1027 nt
Filed under: uncultured Chroococcidiopsis sp.
Lineage: Bacteria; Bacillati; Cyanobacteriota; Cyanophyceae; Chroococcidiopsidales; Chroococcidiopsidaceae
Description: bacterial SSU rRNA
Rfam family: Bacterial small subunit ribosomal RNA
Source: RNAcentral
GGGGAAUUUUCCGCAAUGGGCGAAAGCCUGACGGAGCAAUACCGCGUGAGGGAGGAAGGCUCUUGGGUUGUAAACCUCUUUUCUCAGGGAAGAACAAAAUGACGGUACCUGAGGAAUAAGCAUCGGCUAACUCCGUGCCAGCAGCCGCGGUAAUACGGAGGAUGCAAGCGUUAUCCGGAAUGAUUGGGCGUAAAGCGUCCGCAGGUGGCAUUGCAAGUCUGCUGUCAAAGGUCAGGGCUCAACCCUGAAAAGGCAGUGGAAACUGAAAUGCUGGAGUGCGGUAGGGGUAGAGGGAAUUCCCGGUGUAGCGGUGAAAUGCGUAGAGAUCGGGAAGAACACCAGUGGCGAAGGCGCUCUACUAGGCCGCAACUGACACUCAUGGACGAAAGCUAGGGGAGCGAAUGGGAUUAGAUACCCCAGUAGUCCUAGCUGUAAACGAUGGAUACUAGGCGUUGAGAGUAUCGACCCUCUCAGUGUCGUAGCUAACGCGUUAAGUAUCCCGCCUGGGGAGUACGCGCGCAAGCGUGAAACUCAAAGGAAUUGACGGGGGCCCGCACAAGCGGUGGAGUAUGUGGUUUAAUUCGAUGCAACGCGAAGAACCUUACCAGGGCUUGACAUGUCCGGAACCCCAGGGAAACUUGGGGGUGCCUACGGGAGCCGGAACACAGGUGGUGCAUGGCUGUCGUCAGCUCGUGUCGUGAGAUGUUGGGUUAAGUCCCGCAACGAGCGCAACCCUCGUUUUUAGUUGCCAGCAUUCGGUUGGGCACUCUAGAGAGACUGCCGGUGACAAACCGGAGGAAGGUGGGGAUGACGUCAAGUCAGCAUGCCCCUUACGUCCUGGGCUACACACGUACUACAAUGCUACGGACAAAGGGAAGCAAGCGUGCGAAUGCAAGCAAAUCCCAUAAACCGUGGCUCAGUUCAGAUUGCAGGCUGCAACUCGCCUGCAUGAAGGCGGAAUCGCUAGUAAUCGCAGGUCAGCAAUACUGCGGUGAAUACGUUCCCGGGCCUUGUACACACCGCCCGU